This 158-nucleotide unclassified non-coding RNA is filed under the name uncultured Helotiales. Its description in RNAcentral is "sequence contains ITS1". Lineage: Eukaryota; Fungi; Ascomycota; Leotiomycetes; Helotiales. The record is from RNAcentral.
CAGAGUUCAUGCCCUCACGGGUAGAUCUCCCACCCUUUGAGUACUAUACUUUUGUUGCUUUGGCAGGCCGCUUCGGCCACCGGCUCCGGCUGGUGAGUGCCUGCCAGAGGACCCCAAACUCUGAAUUACAGUGUCGUCUGAGAACUACAAAAUAGUUA